This 253-nucleotide ribosomal RNA is filed under the name uncultured bacterium. RNAcentral's name for it is "partial 16S ribosomal RNA". It matches the Rfam family "Bacterial small subunit ribosomal RNA", at positions 524 to 776 of the family's 1533-position model. The record is from RNAcentral.
UACGGAGGGUGCAAGCGUUAUCCGGAUUCACUGGGUUUAAAGGGUGCGUAGGCGGGGAAGUAAGUCCGCGGUGAAAUCUCUGAGCUUAACUCAGAAACUGCCGUGGAUACUAUUUGCCUUGAAUAUUGUGGAGGUGAGCGGAAUAUGUCAUGUAGCGGUGAAAUGCUUAGAUAUGACAUAGAACACCAAUUGCGAAGGCAGCUCACUACACAAUCAUUGACGCUGAGGCACGAAAGCGUGGGGAUCAAACAGG